GGGCGGGGCCAACAUGGCGCCGAGCGCCGGGUGAGCGGCGCUUUGGCGGUGGUGAGAGGCUCUUCCUGCGCUGGGCGCUCGACUGGCGGGGGCGGGUCUGAGUGGUACCCGGGACUAGACCCUUUGAAGGGCCCGUGUGGGGACCCGGAGGAGGACGGUUGGUUGUGUGUCCGUGCGCGUGGGGACUCUGUGUGUUUGCAUUGGAGGGAUGUUGGGGGGAUGAGGUGGGCUCUCUAUGCCUUCUUUCUCGCUGUACCCAUUGCCUGGGGACCUUAGACCUGCUUCCCUGCUGGGGAAACUGCUACACGGAUCUAGGUCAAGUUAUUCUUCUGGGAAGCCUUCCUGCCGACUCCACUGACCUGAGAUUUCCUGAGGCCGUGGCGUGUUAUUUGAGCCUGUACUGGCAGAGGGUACCGCGAGGUAUUGAAGGAGUAGUAGGAGUUCGCCAGGGAACUGGGACAUGACCGCCUCCUGUAUACCCGGCUCCAGGCACAGAGGUCUCCAUCUCUCCGCCCUGGGGCAUCUUCCUUCAGGGGAGGGGAGGAGGGGCUCCAGAAUGGCUGAGGAGAAGAAGCUGAAGCUGAGCAACACCGUGCUGCCCUCGGAGUCCAUGAAGGUGGUGGCCGAGUCCAUGGGCAUCGCUCAGAUUCAGGAGGAGACCUGCCAGCUGCUGACAGAUGAGGUCAGCUACCGCAUCAAGGAGAUUGCACAGGAUGCCUUGAAGUUCAUGCACAUGGGGAAGCGGCAGAAGCUCACCACCAGUGACAUUGACUACGCACUGAAACUAAAGAACGUCGAGCCACUGUAUGGCUUCCACGCUCAGGAGUUCAUUCCUUUCCGUUUUGCCUCUGGUGGCGGCCGGGAGCUUUACUUCUACGAGGAGAAGGAGGUUGAUCUGAGCGACAUCAUCAAUACCCCUCUGCCCCGAGUGCCCUUGGAUGUCUGCCUCAAAGCUCACUGGCUGAGCAUUGAAGGCUGCCAGCCAGCUAUUCCAGAGAACCCACCCCCAGCUCCCAAAGAGCAGCAGAAGGCUGAGGCCACAGAACCCCUGAAGUCAGCCAAGCCAGGCCAGGAGGAAGACGGCCCCUUGAAAGGCAAAGGUCAGGGGGCCACUCCAGCUGACGGCAAAGGGAAAGAGAAGAAGGCACCACCCCUGCUGGAGGGGGCGCCUCUGCGACUGAAGCCCCGAAGCAUCCACGAGUUGUCUGUGGAGCAGCAGCUGUACUACAAGGAGAUCACAGAAGCCUGUGUGGGCUCAUGUGAGGCCAAGAGAGCGGAGGCUCUGCAGAGCAUUGCCACGGAUCCAGGGCUCUACCAGAUGCUGCCGCGCUUCAGCACCUUCAUCUCAGAGGGGGUGCGCGUGAACGUGGUGCAGAACAACCUGGCCCUGCUCAUCUACCUGAUGCGCAUGGUGAAGGCGCUGAUGGACAACCCUACUCUGUAUCUAGAGAAAUACGUGCAUGAGUUGAUCCCGGCUGUGAUGACCUGCAUCGUGAGCAGACAGCUGUGCCUGCGGCCAGAUGUGGACAAUCACUGGGCGCUCCGGGACUUUGCCGCCCGCCUGGUGGCCCAGAUCUGCAAGCAUUUCAGCACAACCACUAAUAACAUCCAGUCCCGGAUCACCAAGACCUUCACCAAGAGCUGGGUGGAUGAGAAGACCCCGUGGACAACGCGCUACGGCUCCAUCGCAGGCCUGGCAGAGCUGGGACAUGAUGUGAUUAAGACUCUGAUUCUGCCACGGCUACAGCAGGAGGGGGAGCGGAUCCGCGGGGUCCUGGAUGGCCCUGUGCUGAGCAACAUCGACCGCAUAGGGGCUGACCACGUGCAGAGCCUCCUCCUGAAACACUGUGCCCCUGUUCUGGCAAAGCUGCGCCCACCGCCUGACAAUCAGGAUGCCUAUCGGGCAGAAUUUGGGUCCCUCGGGCCCCUCCUCUGCUCCCACGUUGUCAAGGCCCGGGCCCAGGCUGCUCUGCAGGCUCAGCAGGUCAACAGGACCACUCUAACCAUCACUCAGCCCCGGCCCACGCUGACCCUCUCACAGGCCCCCCAGCCUGGCCCUCGGACCCCUGGCUUGCUGAAGGUCCCUGGCUCCAUUGCGCUGCCUGUCCAGACACUGGUGUCUGCUCGAGCUGCUGCCCCGCCUCAGCCUUCCCCUCCCCCAACCAAGUUCAUUGUCAUGUCAUCAUCCUCCAGCGCCUCAUCCACCCAACAGGUCCUGUCCCUCAGCACCUCGGCCCCUGGCUCAGGCUCCACCACUACCUCUCCCGUCACCACCACCGUCCCCAGCGUGCAGCCCAUCGUCAAGCUGGUCUCCACCGCCACAAGCGCGCCCCCCAGCACUGCCCCCUCUGGUCCUGGGAGUGUCCAGAAGUACAUCGUGGUCUCUCUUCCCCCCACAGGGGAGGGCAAAGGAGGCCCCACCUCCCAUCCUUCUCCAGCCCCUCCCCCGACCUCAGCCCCCUCCCCGCUUGGGGUCAGCGCCCUAUGUGGGGGGAAAGCGGAAGCUGGGGAGAGCCCCCCUCCCGCUCCAGGGACUCCGAAGGCUAACGGCUCACAGCCCCCCGGAUGUGGCUCCCCUCCGCCUGCGCCUUGAUGCUGUCACACGUCUGCUGACCUUCUUCUCUCCCCUGUACUCACUCUCUCUCGCUCUCUCUCUUUCUCUCCCUCUUUCUCUCCCUCUCUCUCUCUCACACACACACACACACACACGCACGCAUGCACGCACGCACGCGCGCUGGGUGGAAGGAAAUAGUAGUCAGCUUCCCCCACGUGACUUUCUCUUUCAGUAUUGUACAGUCAGUUCCUCAGAAUAAAAGUUUGAUUUUUAAAUUGUGAUCCACCUCAGUCCUUCCUGGGUCAGAUCCCACGGACGGGCGGUUGAACCCGUGGAGCCCCCUGCUCUCUAGGACUCAGGACCCUUCCAGCCAGAGCCACAGCCACAGGCCAGGAUGCUGGGAGAGGAAAGGUUGUCCUUCUCCUGAUGCACAGAUCACUCCUUUGCCACCCGUGUCCUCGUUUGGGAGCCUCAGAUCCGAAUGACGUAGGCGUCGCUGUGGCUUAGGUGUCGCACCCACUUGUGGGGAUUGGCGUUGCCGCAUGGUCUGAACGCCAGCCUGAGGAAGCGAACCUGGAGGCCAGAGCAUGUGUGCCGGGGAAGUUCAAACGAGAGACUGGCGGGGCCCAGCCCCAGAGGAGGAGCCGAGGUGGAGGGGCCUUGGCCGGGAGGCCCGGGGAGGCCCGGGACGUCCAUCUGUGAGGGGCAGAGGCAGGAGGAGGGUGCUGAAGGCCUCAACAGGAAGGUGGGCAGGGGAGCCGAGGGGCCAGGAAGCUGACCACACGGACCGACCGCAUUAGGAGGCUAUGGGUCAGGGCUGAAAGUGGAGGUGGGAGGAGAGGGCCUUCGAGACUCAGCGGCUGAUACCUGGAAAAGGCCUGAGAGCUGAGAGCCUCCCUGCACCCGAGGAAGGUCCCAGCGAAGGGCUCCCUCCCCCAGCUCUGCCUUCUGCUCUGGGCUGCUCAGCUCCUGAGACAGGCUGGAGUUGGGAGAGGAAAGGUGCUGGGUUAGCCCCUGCCAUCCCACAGCUCCCACUCUCCUCCCCCAGUGCCGUCCUGUUGUCCGGAGAAGCUGGUAAACCCACCCGCGGGCCCACGGUGCACACACGCUCACCUGACCACCCCCCGUGGCAGGGGAAGGUGCAGCCUGACGUUGAGAGCCUGGCUGCAAGGAAAAAAGGACCAGAGUCAGCCCCAGGAAGGUCGUGACGUGUCCCAUCUUCAUUACUGUCACGACUGCAGUUCUGCACAAGUGCCACCCCACCCCCUUCCCAAACUCUAGUGCCUCUAAGCUGGAUUCUGAGGCUGGUGGCCGCACCUGAAGGUGGAAACAGCAGGUGGAAUAUGCUAGGCCAGCCCGAUCCUGACCUCACCGUGAGGUGGCUGCAGGCGGAGGAUUCGAUGAGAUUCAAACUCAUCCAGAUGCACCGAGCUGUGAAAUGAGACCUCAUCCACCCGAAUUCCUGGCCCAUAACCUGGAAAGAGAGAAAGACCCCUCUCCUAACCCAUAUUUUGGGAGGGGGUGGGGAUCUGUCUCUAACUUCCCUCCAUGAAAACUUUGACAGUGACCUCGACCUAGGAGAGAAAGACCCACUUUCUCACCUCUCAGUUCUGACUUCCCCACACAAAACUCUUCCGUCAAGCCGAUGCGCAUCUCUGUCAGAGGAAGGAACAGAAGAAGCAGCUGCCAAAUACCCCAUACAUGCCACCAAGGAGCCUGUCCCAAACCCCACCCUGGUCCAGCCUGCAGGCUGCUCACCAGAGCCGCUGGGCAGAAAGCUCUUGAGUCGUAUCUCUCCCUGCACGUCCACCUUCAGCAGCGAGCCCUGAGAGUGACAGGAGGUCAAUGCCCAGACGUGACCUCCCCGACACACUUCCCAAAGGCCGCCUGUCCUCAGCCGCAGGGCUGGGGGCCCGAACUUACGUUAGAGGCUAUCAGGACGGACAAUCUCUCGACCACAUCCAGAAACACUUCAUUCUUUUGGCUCUAAGGAAAGAGAGAUUUGGGGUUUGAUCACCCUGUGUUCUAAUGCGGACAGGCAGAAAGGACAGGACAGUGGAGGCUGGAGCCCUGGGUUGGGGACGCGGGUAAGGAAAGGGAUCAUCCACGUCUAGAGAAGGUGGAAAGAUAUGCUGGGAUCUUGGACUCUGGGGGCUGAGAGAAAAAUCAGAGGAUCUGAACCCAUCAAUCCCUCCCUCACCUGGUCAGAGCGGCUGGACAGCACCGGGCGGCUGGCUGCACUGCUGGGGGCCACUUUGCUCUGUUGUGUCUCAGCCCCAAACUGGAAAUCAUCCAAAGCAAUCAAUCCUCACGUAUGACACUUCCCACUAACCCUCCUCAAUCCUGGCCUCAUCUGUCCCUGGACUGACCAAGCCAACGCUGCUGAGGUCAAAGAGGCUGAAGGGUUUGCUGACCACAGCCUCCGUCUGGAUGAAGUUCCUCAGCAUCUCCGUGGAUGUGGUCUGUACAUAACCAUAGUCCUAUAGAUAAAGGAAGGGCAGUCUUUGGGUGGUCGGGGGGGAAGGGGUGAAAAUGAAUGGACUCAGCCUCCCAACCAUGGGAUGCAUCUUCAGGGAACGGGGGACAGGGAGGGACAUCCUUGGACCUCACCAGCACUUCAUCCAGAAGUUCGUAGACCAGAGCCACGUUGCGGGAGAUGGUCGCCUCACCCAGAGAGCCACAGUAAUCACCCAGGAGCGUGGCUAGCCUGCAGAACAGGACGGAGUGUGCAUACCCUCCUCCUCUCUGACCCCCACGCCCGUGUGCCCAGCCCCGCCCUCCUCACCGGGAGAGCAGCUCUAGGAGGCUGAAGGGAGAAAUGUUUUCUGAAGUCGUGGCCACCAAAUAGAGGCCGCUGUGUCUGAUGUGAAUAAAAUGACGGUCAUCGUGGUGCUGAGGCAGAGGCAGGGGAAAAAAGCAUUAGCAAGAAAGAGUUGUGGUGAUUCCUGGCCCAUGAGACCUGGGCUGGUAUCCUGAUUCCCCUACUUACUAGCAGCGUGACUUGUGCCACAUACGAAACCUCCCCAGGGCCCAGCUUCCUAAUGUGUAAAUGGAGUUAAUAAUAGUACCUACUCCAGAGUGGCUGAGGAUUGAGACGUGCGGGGAGCUGUGCCUGGUGCAUUGUGAGCGCUCAAUAAACUUCUAUUAAUAUUA
Molecule: non-coding RNA, 5707 nt
Organism: Delphinapterus leucas (beluga whale)
Lineage: Eukaryota; Metazoa; Chordata; Mammalia; Artiodactyla; Monodontidae
Source: RefSeq, a predicted model, not a curated record